GACGAACGCUGGCGGCGUGCUUAACACAUGCAAGUCGAACGAUGAAGCGGCCAGCUUGCUGGUGGUGGAUUAGUGGCGAACGGGUGAGUAACACGUGAGUAACCUGUCCUUCACUCUGGGAUAAGCCCUGGAAACGGGGUCUAAUACUAGAUAUUCUCAAUGUGCCGCAUGGUGUGUUGUGGAAAGAUUUUUUGGUGAGGGUUGGACUCGCGGCCUAUCAGCUUGUUGGUGGGGUAGUGGCCUACCAAGGCUUUGACGGGUAGCCGGCCUGAGAGGGUGACCGGCCACACUGGGACUGAGACACGGCCCAGACUCCUACGGGAGGCAGCAGUGGGGAAUAUUGCACAAUGGGCGAAAGCCUGAUGCAGCAACGCCGCGUGAGGGAUGACGGCCUUCGGGUUGUAAACCUCUUUUAGUUGGGAAGAAGGGAGCUUGCUCUUGACGGUACCAGCAGAAAAAGCACCGGCUAACUACGUGCCAGCAGCCGCAGUAAUAC
RNAcentral lists this ribosomal RNA (496 nucleotides) under uncultured bacterium. Its description in RNAcentral is "bacterial SSU rRNA". It matches the Rfam family "Bacterial small subunit ribosomal RNA", at positions 28 to 526 of the family's 1533-position model. The record is from RNAcentral.